GGAAGGAUCAUUAACACUAAUCCAAACAACUAAACAAAGCCUUCAGUUGCAGCAGUGUGUGUGCUGGCGAAAGCUUGGCAUGCCACAGUUGCAGCAUCAACAAACUAAUUCACGCAAAGGAGUCUAACUAAGCUCAAACAAAAAACCAAAUUCUCAACGAUGGAUAUCUUGGUUCCCAUAACGAUGAAGAACGCAGCGAAGUGCGAUAAGCAAUGCGAAUUGCAGAACCGUGAGUCAUCAGAUUUUUGAACGCAACUGGCGCCGGCUGGUCCUCCAGUCGGCAUGCUUGUUUCAGUGUCUUUUUUUCUCCUCACCCAAACCUUAAUGCGAGAGAUACCCUUCUCUUGCCAAACAGGAAAGCACUCUGCGCUCUGCAGGCAGCUUUUAGACUCGUUCUUUAAGCUGCGCUCAAUGCUGUCGUCACAUUUUUACAAGUGUGAACUCAUUGUGAGUAGAGGCAUGUAGCUUCGGCUACCAGUGCUUAGUCACUUAAACUUUCUUUGCAUCUGAAAUCAAGCAGGAGUACCCGCUGAACUUAAGCAUAUCACUAAGCGGAGGAAAAGAAAUUAACUAAGAUUGCCUCAGUAACGGCGAGUGAAGCGGCAAGAGCCCAAACUGGAAAUCUUCACCCUUCGGGUGACGAAUUGUAAUCUAAAGAUGGUUCGCUCAACUGGUUGUGGCGCAGAAGUGCCUUAGAACGGGCCGCCAAAGAGGGUGACAGCCCCGUAUGUGGUGCCACGACCUAACGAGCGGAUUUUCAAAGAGUCGGGUUGUUUUGAAUUGCAGCCCUAAGUGGGAGAUAAACUUCUUCUAAGGCUAAAUACCUAUGGGAAACCGAUAGCGAACAAGUACUGUGAAGGAAAGAUGAAAAGAACUUUGAAAAGAGAGUCAAAAGACUUGAAAUCGUUGAGAAGGAAGCGGUAGAAAUUUAUUCUUCGGCGGCGUACGGUGGUGGUUGCCAAACCAUUGUGGGCUUCGAGCACGUCAAAGGCUCUGGCUUGCACUUGGGGAAGCGACCGCUUUGUUCGCCGUCGUGAGGCAAAAUGAGGUCGCAUUCCCGCAGAGGCUUCUUAGACCUGGCCCGAUUCGUUGGGCAGUCUAGGUGUGUCGGUGGGCGUGCGGCCUGAGGGUGCUUUUGCGAUUUUGCCAAAAUGGUUUUUACCGACCCGUCUUGAAACACGGACCAAGGAGUCUAACAGAUAUGCGAGUGUGCUGGUGGAGAAACCAACACGCGUAAUGAAGGUGAGUGAUGCCAAGCGCAAGCAGCAGCAUCGACCGACCAUGAUCAUUUUGAGAAAGGUUUGAGUAAGAGCAUAUCUGCUAGGACCCGAAAGAUGGUGAACUAUGCCUGAGUAGGGUGAAGCCAGGGGAAACUCUGGUGGAGGCUCGUAGCGGUACUGACGUGCAAAUCGUUCGUCAAACUUGGGUAUAGGGGCGAAAGACUAAUCGAACCAUCUAGUAGCUGGUUCCCUC
Molecule: unclassified non-coding RNA, 1473 nt
Filed under: uncultured fungus
Lineage: Eukaryota; Fungi
Description: sequence contains 18S rRNA gene, ITS1, 5.8S rRNA gene, ITS2, 28S rRNA gene
Rfam family: Eukaryotic large subunit ribosomal RNA (bases 503-1473)
Source: RNAcentral